GAUGAACGCUGGCGGCGUGCCUAAUACAUGCAAGUCGAGCGAACGGACGAGAAGCUUGCUUCUCUGAUGUUAGCGGCGGACGGGUGAGUAACACGUGGAUAACCUACCUAUAAGACUGGGAUAACUUCGGGAAACCGGAGCUAAUACCGGAUAAUAUUUUGAACCGCAUGGUUCAAAAGUGAAAGACGGUCUUGCUGUCACUUAUAGAUGGAUCCGCGCUGCAUUAGCUAGUUGGUGAGGUAACGGCUUACCAAGGCAACGAUGCAUAGCCGACCUGAGAGGGUGAUCGGCCACACUGGAACUGAGACACGGUCCAGACUCCUACGGGAGGCAGCAGUAGGGAAUCUUCCGCAAUGGGCGAAAGCCUGACGGAGCAGCGCCGCGUGAGUGAUGAAGGUCUUCGGAUCGUAAAACUCUGUUAUUAGGGAAGAACAUAUGUGUAAGUAACUGUGCACAUCUUGACGGUACCUAAUCAGAAAGCCACGGCUAACUACGUG
RNAcentral lists this ribosomal RNA (497 nucleotides) under uncultured bacterium. Its description in RNAcentral is "partial 16S ribosomal RNA". It matches the Rfam family "Bacterial small subunit ribosomal RNA", at positions 28 to 507 of the family's 1533-position model. The record is from RNAcentral.